Molecule: ribosomal RNA, 720 nt
Filed under: Escherichia coli
Lineage: Bacteria; Pseudomonadati; Pseudomonadota; Gammaproteobacteria; Enterobacterales; Enterobacteriaceae
Description: bacterial SSU rRNA
Rfam family: Bacterial small subunit ribosomal RNA
Source: RNAcentral
AAAUUGAAGAGUUUGAUCAUGGCUCAGAUUGAACGCUGGCGGCAGGCCUAACACAUGCAAGUCGAACGGUAACAGGAAGCAGCUUGCUGUUUCGCUGACGAGUGGCGGACGGGUGAGUAAUGUCUGGGAAACUGCCUGAUGGAGGGGGAUAACUACUGGAAACGGUAGCUAAUACCGCAUAACGUCGCAAGACCAAAGAGGGGGACCUUCGGGCCUCUUGCCAUCGGAUGUGCCCAGAUGGGAUUAGCUAGUAGGUGGGGUAACGGCUCACCUAGGCGACGAUCCCUAGCUGGUCUGAGAGGAUGACCAGCCACACUGGAACUGAGACACGGUCCAGACUCCUACGGGAGGCAGCAGUGGGGAAUAUUGCACAAUGGGCGCAAGCCUGAUGCAGCCAUGCCGCGUGUAUGAAGAAGGCCUUCGGGUUGUAAAGUACUUUCAGCGGGGAGGAAGGGAGUAAAGUUAAUACCUUUACUCAUUGACGUUACCCGCAGAAGAAGCACCGGCUAACUCCGUGCCAGCAGCCGCGGUAAUACGGAGGGUGCAAGCGUUAAUCGGAAUUACUGGGCGUAAAGCGCACGCAGGCGGUUUGUUAAGUCAGAUGUGAAAUCCCCGGGCUCAACCUGGGAACUGCAUCUGAUACUGGCAAGCUUGAGUCUCGUAGAGGGGGGUAGAAUUCCAGGUGUAGCGGUGAAAUGCGUAGAGAUCUGGAGGAAUACC